This 427-nucleotide ribosomal RNA is filed under the name uncultured bacterium. RNAcentral describes it as "bacterial SSU rRNA". It matches the Rfam family "Bacterial small subunit ribosomal RNA", at positions 355 to 774 of the family's 1533-position model. The record is from RNAcentral.
UGGGGAAUUUUGGACAAUGGGCGCAAGCCUGAUCCAGCAAUGCCGCGUGCAGGAUGAAGGCCUUCGGGUUGUAAACUGCUUUUGUACGGAGCGAAAAGGUCUGCCCUAAUACGGUGGGCUCAUGACGGUACCGUAAGAAUAAGCACCGGCUAACUACGUGCCAGCAGCCGCGGUGAUACGUAGGGUGCGAGCGUUAAUCGGAAUUACUGGGCGUAAAGCGUGCGCAGGCGGUUAUAUAAGACAGAGGUGAAAUCCCCGGGCUCAACCUGGGAACUGCCUUUGUGACUGCAUAGCUGGAGUACGAUAGAGGGAGAUGGAAUUCCGCGUGUAGCAGUGAAAUGCGUAGAUAUGCGGAGGAACACCGAUGGCGAAGGCAAUCCCCUGGACCUGUACUGACGCUCAUGCACGAAAGCGUGGGGAGCAAACA